AGAGUUUGAUCCUGGCUCAGAUUGAACGCUGGCGGCAUGCCUAACACAUGCAAGUCGAACGGUAACGCGGAGAGCUUGCUCUCUGGCGACGAGUGGCGGACGGGUGAGUAAUACUUAGGAAUCUACCCAGUAGUGGGGGACAACAUUCGGAAACGGAUGCUAAUACCGGAUAAGCCCACGGGGUCUUCGGACCUUGCGGGAAAAGGUGGGGACCUUCGGGCCUACUGUCAUCGGAUGAGUCCGCGGCCCAUUAGCUAGUUGGUGGGGUAACGGCCCACCAAGGCAACGAUGGGUAGCUGGUCUGAGAGGAUGAUCAGCCACACUGGCACUGAGACACGGGCCAGACUCCUACGGGAGGCAGCAGUGAGGAAUAUUGCGCAAUGGGCGAAAGCCUGACGCAGCCACGCCGCGUGGAGGAAGACACCCCUAUGGGGCGUAAACUCCUUUUGUGUGAGAAGAAGGCCCUGGUCUCCAGGGUUUGACGGUAUCGCACGAAUAAGCACCGGCUAACUCCGUGCCAGCAGCCGCGGUAAUACGGGGGGUGCAAGCGUUGUUCGGAAUUACUGGGCGUAAAGCGCACGUAGGUGGUUUGUUAAGUCGGAUGUGAAAGCCCCGGGCUCAACCUGGGAAUUGCAUUCGAUACUGGCAGACUAGAGUAUGGUAGAGGGAAGUGGAAUUCCAGGUGUAGCGGUGAAAUGCGUAGAUAUCUGGAGGAACAUCAGUGGCGAAGGCGGCUUCCUGGACUAAUACUGACACUGAGGUGCGAAAGCGUGGGUAGCAAACAGGAUUAGAUACCCUGGUAGUCCACGCCGUAAACGAUGUCAACUAGUUGUUGGGAGGGUUAGACCUCUUAGUGACGCAGCUAACGCAAUAAGUUGACCGCCUGGGGAGUACGGCCGCAAGGUUAAAACUCAAAGGAAUUGACGG
This 927-nucleotide ribosomal RNA is filed under the name uncultured bacterium. Its description in RNAcentral is "bacterial SSU rRNA". It matches the Rfam family "Bacterial small subunit ribosomal RNA", at positions 8 to 916 of the family's 1533-position model. The record is from RNAcentral.